RNAcentral lists this long non-coding RNA (1941 nucleotides) under Homo sapiens (human). RNAcentral describes it as "HSALNT0340341". Lineage: Eukaryota; Metazoa; Chordata; Mammalia; Primates; Hominidae. The record is from RNAcentral.
CUGAUAGGUGGGGAGGGCUGGCAUAAUGCAAGCAGGAACUUGAAGAAUGCAAAAGACUUAGGUAGGUGAAGAAGGGAGACAACAGGGACGUCCAGAGGGAGACAGCAUACAGCGUGAAAUGCUGCAGACUAUAGAGCUGCUGCUGGAAGUGGAACAUAAGGUUAGACCAGUAGCCUGGAGCUGUUUGGUGGAAGGCUUGUGAAGCCCUUCUGACAGUUUGGGUGUUUUCACUGUGUCAUGGGAACCAUUCAAGCUUCCUCUGCUUUCUGAAUUCAGCAUGGACUGAGUUCAUACAGUGGGCUGACUUUUUAGAAACGGGGAUUUUGUUGUAUGCUUACACUUUAGUAGAAAAUGCAGGGCUUUGACACUUGAUUUCAAUUCUGGAGCUCUGCACAUCGAAAGAGAAUUCUGCACAUUCAAAAACAACCUUGUGCUGCUUGCUUCCUUCCUCCCCUCCUCCUUCUCUUUCUUUUUUUUUCCUUCAUCCUCUCUUUUUGUUUCUUCUUCUUCUCUUCCCCACUACUUCUAUCAGAAUCUUCACUCUAAGCACAGUGAAUGGUAUGCCCAACUGGGAGGCCUUGUCUGUGUCAGCUGUCCCAUCUCCCCAGGCUCCUGCAGCCGUCUUUGCCUAGCACCAACCCAGAUGCCCAGCUCAGCACUUGGUCGAUUCUCUGCUAAGAAUCCAUUAAUGGAAAACACUGGGGAACAAUGCAGACUUUACUGAAGAGUCCUUUGUGGGCAGAGGAGGGUGUUUUCAUCAGACAUUCCACAGACAAUAACUUUAAAAUCUUCAAUUGGGCAUUUCUGUUCUUUAAAGUCACUUUCUGGCAGUAUGGUCCCUAGACCAUACUUUGUUUUUCUUUCCCCACAGAAUCCACUGGCUCCUUUCUCCUCCUUUCACUUUCCAUUAAAAUAAAUUCCUCUUCUAUUAAGCAGAACACUCCAACCUUGCCCCAGCAACUAGCUGCAGUCUGUGUACCCAGUUUGUGUACCUGUCUUGGUGGUCAUCUGUUGUCAUGUUUGUUACUUCAGCACCCAGAGAGAGGUACAAAGCAACACCUUCAUGGGUGCUUUAGUUUAGGACCUUAUGAAGAUGAUAGGUUUGUAUUAGCCCAUAUAGUCAGCCCUUACUCUUCUGUUGUCAGUAGAAGAACCAUGUACACCUGAUGAAAUAACUCUGGUCAUAUUUGAUGAGCUAUAAAGAAUAUGCAAGAGGCUUUUACUGUUAAUGUCCUGACUCUGCUCACUCUGUGACUGGUGUCCAAGAUCUAGUCCUGGUGAGGUCUGACUCAACAUCUUUCUGCAGCUCUCUGUUCUUGUCCUUUACACUAUGAAGCAAUAUCUCCAUCCUGCCUUUUCAUCCUUCUCACAGUCCUUAGCUGCUGCUGGGUAGCCUCAGGAAUGGCUUGUAAUGCCACAGCCCCCAGCACCAUCUCCCACUGUCUGCUGUUUGUGGUUGUUCAGGUGGCUGUGUUUGCCUGCAGGAUCAGCGUUCUGCACCCUCUGGUGAUAGCAGUGAGAAGAUUAACUUCAAAUCUAGAAUUUAUUCCCUAAUUGUGUCAUUUUGUGACACUGCUGAGGAACGUCAUUAAUUACCACCUUUCCCCCAUUGUAGCAGACUUAGAUAUUACAGUGCAGUAACUUCAUGGCAAAUACCCUGUGGGUCACAUGAUCUUAGGACCUUGAUUUUAAAUCUCUGUUUAUCUCUAUGUAAAAUGGUGUGAAUAAUAUAGACUUGCAGUGUUGUGGUAAGAAUGAAUGCUUUUUUUUUUAUUAUUAUGUAAGUAUCUUGGAAACUAGUGACUAUUUACAUGUUUCUUUCCCACACAUUCCCACGAAUUUCCCUUCACAAAUACAGAAUGGAUGUUAUACUUUUAUUGAUCACAAUAAACAUCUAGGAAACAGAAGAAUCAAGAUAAUAAACUAAUAUUUGUUAAACAC